This 287-nucleotide long non-coding RNA is filed under the name Mustela putorius furo (domestic ferret). RNAcentral describes it as "lncRNA (ENSMPUG00000023836.1)". Lineage: Eukaryota; Metazoa; Chordata; Mammalia; Carnivora; Mustelidae. The record is from RNAcentral.
UGUGUCUACACUGGCAAAUGUCUACACUCUCAGCAUCAUUCAAUUUCAUGAGCAAAGCCCGAGUCUAUCUCAGCUCUGAAGGACCACCUGCAUUCCUUGCCACAUGACGCCCUCCAUCUUAACACAAGCAGAAAGGCUUUGAAUGGUUCUCUGCAUUGAAUCUCUGACUUCCUCCUCUGUGACCAGCUGGGAAAAACCUCUAAAGGGCUCUUGGGAUUAGCUCAGAACCACCUAAAUAAUCUAUUUUAAGGUGAGCUAUGCCAUAAAACACCACCUAUUCAUGGGAG